GUGGGGAAUAUUGGUCAAUGGGGGAAACCCUGAACCAGCAACGCCGCGUGAAGGAAGAAGGCUUUCGGGUUGUAAACUUCUUUUAUGUGGGACGAAAAAAUGACGGUACCACAUGAAUAAGCCACGGCUAACUACGUGCCAGCAGCCGCGGUAAUACGUAGGUGGCAAGCGUUGUCCGGAUUUACUGGGUGUAAAGCGCGCGUAGGCGGAUGUGCAAGUCAGAUGUGAAAUACCAGGGCUCAACCCUGGGGCUGCAUUUGAAACUGUGCAUCUUGAGUGAUGGAGAGGCAAGCGGAAUUCCUAGUGUAGCGGUGAAAUGCGUAGAUAUUAGGAGGAACACCAGUGGCGAAGGCGGCUUGCUGGACAUUAACUGACGCUGAGGCGCGAAAGCGUGGGGAGCAAACAGGAUUAGAAACCCUUGUAGUCC
RNAcentral lists this ribosomal RNA (427 nucleotides) under uncultured bacterium. RNAcentral describes it as "partial 16S ribosomal RNA". It matches the Rfam family "Bacterial small subunit ribosomal RNA", at positions 354 to 796 of the family's 1533-position model. The record is from RNAcentral.